AUUCCUACGGGACGCAGCAGUAGGGAAUCUUUCACAAUGGGCGAAAGCCUGAUGGAGCAACGCCGCGUGCAGGAUGAAGGCCUUCGGGUUGUAAACUGCUUUUAUAAGCGAGAAAUAUGAUGGUAACUUAUGAAUAAGGAUCGGCUAACUACGUGCCAGCAGCCGCGGUAAUACGUAGGGGGCAAGCGUUAUCCGGAUUUACUGGGUGUAAAGGGAGCGUAGACGGCCGUUCAAGCCAGAUGUGAAAGCCCGGGGCUCAACCCCGGGACUGCAUUUGGAACUGUGCGGCUAGAGUGUCGGAGAGG
Molecule: ribosomal RNA, 305 nt
Filed under: uncultured bacterium
Lineage: Bacteria
Description: bacterial SSU rRNA
Rfam family: Bacterial small subunit ribosomal RNA
Source: RNAcentral